Molecule: unclassified non-coding RNA, 323 nt
Filed under: soil metagenome
Description: partial contains 5.8S ribosomal RNA, internal transcribed spacer 2, and large subunit ribosomal RNA
Rfam family: 5.8S ribosomal RNA (bases 1-120)
Source: RNAcentral
GAUGAAGAACGUAGCGAAAUGCGAUAAGUAAUGCGAAUUGCAGAAUUCAGUGAGACAUCGAAUCUUUGAACGCACAUUGCGCCCUGUGGUAUUCCGCAGGGCAUGCCUGUUCGAGCGUCAUUUCAACCCUCAAGCUCUGCUUGGUGUUGGGCCCUGCCCGCUGCGGCCGGCCCUAAAGACAGUGGCGGUGCCGCCUGGCCCUGAGCGUAGUACAUCUCUCGCUCCAGUGCCCGGUGGUAGCCUGCCAGAACCCCAACUCUCGUGGUUGACCUCGGAUCAGGUAGGGAUACCCGCUGAACUUAAGCAUAUCAAUAAGCGGAGGA